Molecule: ribosomal RNA, 560 nt
Filed under: uncultured bacterium
Lineage: Bacteria
Description: bacterial SSU rRNA
Rfam family: Bacterial small subunit ribosomal RNA
Source: RNAcentral
CCUACGGGAGGCAGCAGUGGGGAAUAUUGGACAAUGGGCGCAAGCCUGAUCCAGCCAUGCCGCGUGAGUGAUGAAGGCCUUAGGGUUGUAAAGCUCUUUUGCCUGGGAAGAUAAUGACGGUACCAGGAGAAUAAGCCCCGGCUAACUUCGUGCCAGCAGCCGCGGUAAUACGAAGGGGGCUAGCGUUGUUCGGAUUUACUGGGCGUAAAGCGCACGUAGGCGGAUCUUUAAGUCAGGGGUGAAAUCCCGGGGCUCAACCUCGGAACUGCCUUUGAUACUGGGGAUCUCGAGUUCGGGAGAGGUGAGCGGAACUGCGAGUGUAGAGGUGAAAUUCGUAGAUAUUCGCAAGAACACCAGUGGCGAAGGCGGCUCACUGGCCCGAUACUGACGCUGAGGUGCGAAAGCGUGGGGAGCGAACAGGAUUAGAUACCCUGGUAGUCCACGCUGUAAACGAUGGAUGCCAGCCGUUAGGCAGCUUGCUGCUUAGUGGCGCAGUUAACGCUUUAAGCAUCCCGCCUGGGGAGUACGGUCGCAAGAUUAAAACUCAAAUGAAUUGACGG